This 76-nucleotide transfer RNA is filed under the name subsurface metagenome. Its description in RNAcentral is "tRNA-Ala". It matches the Rfam family "tRNA". Rfam says of the family: Transfer RNA (tRNA) molecules are approximately 80 nucleotides in length. Their secondary structure includes four short double-helical elements and three loops (D, anti-codon, and T loops). The record is from RNAcentral.
GGGGCCGUAGCUUAGACGGGAAAGCGCCCCCCUCGCACGGGGGAGAUUGGGGGUUCGACUCCCCCCGGCUCCACCA